This 519-nucleotide ribosomal RNA is filed under the name uncultured bacterium IAFESD4. RNAcentral's name for it is "bacterial SSU rRNA". It matches the Rfam family "Bacterial small subunit ribosomal RNA", at positions 9 to 523 of the family's 1533-position model. The record is from RNAcentral.
GAGUUUGAUCCUGGCUCAGAUUGAACGCUGGCGGAAUGCUUUACACAUGCAAGUCGAGCGGCAGCGCGGGGGCAACCCUGGCGGCGAGCGGCGAACGGGUGAGUAACACAUCGGAACGUACCCUAUCGUGGGGGAUAACGAAUCGAAAGAUUCGCUAAUACCGCAUACGACCUGAGGGUGAAAGCGGGGGAUCGCAAGACCUCGCGCGAUUGGAGCGGCCGAUGUCGGAUUAGCUAGUUGGUGAGGUAAAGGCUCACCAAGGCGACGAUCCGUAGCUGGUCUGAGAGGACAACCAGCCACACUGGGACUGAGACACGGCCCAGACUCCUACGGGAGGCAGCAGUGGGGAAUUUUGGACAAUGGGGGCAACCCUGAUCCAGCCAUUCCGCGUGAGUGAAGAAGGCCUUCGGGUUGUAAAGCUCUUUCGGCAGGAACGAAACGGUGCAGGUUAAUACCCUGUAUCAAUGACGGUACCUGAAGAAGAAGCACCGGCUAACUGCGUGCCAGCCGCCGCGGUAA